Molecule: ribosomal RNA, 460 nt
Filed under: Salmonella enterica subsp. enterica serovar Anatum
Lineage: Bacteria; Pseudomonadati; Pseudomonadota; Gammaproteobacteria; Enterobacterales; Enterobacteriaceae
Description: bacterial SSU rRNA
Rfam family: Bacterial small subunit ribosomal RNA
Source: RNAcentral
UCCUACGGGUGGCAGCAGUGAGGAAUAUUGGUCAAUGGGCGCGAGCCUGAACCAGCCAAGUAGCGUGAAGGAUGACGGCCCUAUGGGUUGUAAACUUCUUUUAUAUGGGAAUAAAGUUUCACGUGUGCAAUUUUGUAUGUACCAUAUGAAUAAGGAUCGGCUAACUCCGUGCCAGCAGCCGCGGUAAUACGGAGGAUCCGAGCGUUAUCCGGAUUUAUUGGGUUUAAAGGGAGCGUAGGUGGAUUGUUAAGUCAGUUGUGAAAGUUUGCGGCUCAACCGUAAAAUUGCAGUUGAAACUGGCAGUCUUGAGUACAGUAGAGGUGGGCGGAAUUCGUGGUGUAGCGGUGAAAUGCUUAGAUAUCACGAAGAACUCCGAUUGCGAAGGCAGCUCACUGGACUGUUGACUGACAUUGAGGCUCGAAAGUGUGGGUAUCAAACAGGAUUAGAUACCCCAGUAGUC